CGUGUUAGGCUCCUUCCCGGCUAGUCUCUGGACCGAAGACCGGAAGUGCUUCUGCACCUUACAGCUUGGAAGCAAGAGUUGGCAUUCUAAGUUGUGGAAGACCUGCGCGAGACAGUAAAAAAGGCAGCCUGAAAUAUGAGGCAUUUACAACCGAACUCAGCCAUCAUAAUGUGAGGAAGCCCAAACAGCCUGUGACAAUCAAAGCCCAACUGGGAAGGAACUAUGAUCCCCAGCCCUCUGCCCUGGCAGAACUCCCAUUUGAGAAGUAACCAUAUUAACUUGCCAGCCUUAAGUGAGCCACCUUGAAAACACAUCCUUCAUCUCUAGGUUAUUACAGAACAUUGAGGAGACCUCCCUGUGCUAUACAAAAAAUGGCUAACAAAUUUAACCAAGUUGCUCAGGGAGAGCAUCCAUUUCUUCACACUUGGCAAUUACGGCAAAGAGAUACACAUAAACAUACAACCACAUCAGAUGGCUCUACAAUUUCCCAACCCUAUGAUGGAGAAGAGGUGAAAAAAGCGAUAGAGUGGUGAGUUUGUAGAAGACCCAAGUACAUUAUUAACUCUUAAUACUAAGGAAACAGUGCUGUCAAUUAAAGACAAAAUGCUUCAUCACUUAGUAUUUUUAUUUUAUAUUUAUUGAAAGAGCUCUUCUAUUGUGUGUAUAUUCACAUCUCGAAAAGAAAGAAACCAAAUUAUAUGAUUAAGGUAUUUAUUUCUAAAGCACCUUCACAUUCAGAAUCCAACUCUUCUAAAUCACUUAAUUCAGUUGUUGAUGUCUGAAUUUUUCUACAUAGUAUUGUCCUCUGUGCCAUCAAGAGAAUAAAUGACCCAGCCAUUUGUUUAAAAAUUGCUGCAGGAUGGUGUCUAGUAUUUUCUUAUAAACCACUGAUACCUAACCUCCAAGUUUCAUGACGGUGUUUUAUCUUACCAGAAGGAGUCAGUAGAUUAUUUUCAGAUAAAAAACAGAACUGAUAUCCUUCCUUUAAUGGUCUUUACAUAAUUUGUUUAAUGUUGAGGGGCUGCAAUUGCCUACUCAUGUUAUUAGGAAGAAGAAAAUGCCAGCAGAGAUAGAAAAUGUUUGUAGGGCCCAGGAUUCACUAACAUUACACGGAGAAAACUAAAAGUCUAGGGCAGAGACUUUUAAGCAAAAGAGGUGAUGGAGUUCCUAUUGUUGCACAGCAGAAACAAACCUAUUAUCCAUGAGGACGUGGGGUUCGAUCCCUGGCCUCGCUCAAUGGGUCAAGGAUCUGGUGUUGCUGUGGCUGUGGUGUAGGCUGGCAGCUGUAGCGCCAAUUCUACCCCUAGACCGGGAAAUUCUAUAUGCCAUGAGUACGGCCCUUAAAAAAAAAAAGAAAGAAAAAAGAAAAACAGGUGAAUUAAUUCGAACGGCUUUAAAAGAACUCAUUUUAAAGGGCAUCAGAGUACUUUCACUUUUAGUAAAACUAAAUCUUAAUAAAAUUUACGUAUCUGCCAUAGGUUGUUGUCAACUACAAUUGAAAAUUAACUUUUCACCUAUUACUGUUACGUUUAUUUAUGAAAAAUUGACUGUAUCUUCACUAACAUAUUAGGAGAGUAUUUCCUUCUCCUCAAUUCAAGGAAGGGAGGAUGUAAUAGCAAAAUAGUACAUGGGAAGAAGAAUGAAAGAAAAUGCCAUGGUCCUUAAAUGAAGUAUUUUAAGAAGUAGUGAUAGAAUUUUGAUCUGGAAGAAAAGAUUUUAUACUACGUGUUAAUAAAAACAGACAAAAGACAACUUUUACAAAAGGGAGAGACUGUCUUGAAAUUCAACAAAAGAAAAUCCAUUCUUAACAUGUAUAGAUGUAUGAAAAACCCAGGGCAGACUUCCAAUUAAGAUUUGAAAAAAAUCCAAUGAAAGCCAUUAAAUAACUUACAAAUAGUGUAUUUUAAAAAAGGAAACUUUAUGUAAUGGUAUAUAAUCACUGUCUCUAAGAUUCCUUCAUCUAUAGCAUGCCAAGAAUAAUAAAUACAGUGUUAGGAGCGCAUAACUCUUUCAUAAAGAAAUAAACUGUCAAAAAUCUGUUUUAAUGUUACUGAAUGUCCAACACAUUCUUCUACUCAACUGCCAGAUUAUCUCCUAAACCCUGAAAAAAUAUUAAGCAUGCAUUUUCAAUCUAAAAAUACAUAUAUAUAUAGUUUAGAAUUUAUCAUUCUGAAUUGGUUUUAUCUGUUAAGCUAAAAAUAUAGCUAUCAUAAACAUUUCUAAUAGAAAUCAAGAAUUUAGGAAUGCUGACUCCAAACAUACAUAUUGCAUAUUUUCCAUAUAAUGCUAUGAAAAUUAUACAGGCCUCCAAAAGGCAUGUUAUAAUGUGAAAGAUGCAGAACACUUAAAUAGAAUUAUUCUUUAAUGCUUUAUUUUAAAAAGUUUACAUACUGGUUCCUACAGAACUUCAAAGAAAAACCUCAGAUACUAUUAAAGUACCAGUUAUAAUUAAGACACUGUAUAUAUUAUUAGAGAAACCUUUUCGAAACAGAAUUU
Long non-coding RNA from Sus scrofa (pig), 2496 nucleotides. RefSeq lists it as uncharacterized. Lineage: Eukaryota; Metazoa; Chordata; Mammalia; Artiodactyla; Suidae. The record is from RefSeq and is a predicted model, not a curated record.